RNAcentral lists this long non-coding RNA (326 nucleotides) under Elaeis guineensis (African oil palm). Its description in RNAcentral is "long non-coding RNA (EGUI_LNC020671)". The record is from RNAcentral. Lineage: Eukaryota; Viridiplantae; Streptophyta; Magnoliopsida; Arecales; Arecaceae.
UGUAUGUAUAUGUAUAUGUAUAUGUAUAUGUAUAUAAUAAUUUUAAAGUAUUGCUUCUACUUAAAUCCUAUUUAGGUAUCUUUACGAGAAUAUCCUUUAAAAAAAAGGGCCGGUGGCCUAUAAAGCUCGACCGAUCUUCCUCUUUAAUAUUAUCUAUUUUUUUCCCUCUAUGAGGCUUGGCUUAUGAGCCUUUGGUAUGUAGGAAAAAAAAAUCCAUAGAGAUUGAUUUGUUUAUAAAUAAGACUGCAAAUGGGUCAGAUUGAUCCAUGAACUGAUCCGAUCCGACAUGCAUAAACCCAUUUCAAACUAUUUUGAAAGAUCUAUGG